GACAAUUGCUUGGGGUGCUUCUCAACUGUGUGGUUGGUUUAGUUAUUUCGCUGUUUGCGGCCAUAUUGCUUUUAUGAGCUAUAAUACUCAACCGCGAAGGUUUGCGAAGCUUCACUCAUGUAAGCCAGCGAAACCACGAACCUGUCGGGAGGAACGAACAAUUUUAGACGCGCCGCCUUAAGAGCUGUAACACCGCGAAAGUCCGCAACUUCAUUCCUGAGCCAGCGAGACCAGGAACCCACCAGAAAGAAAAAAACUCUGAACACAUCGGAAUAUCAGAAGGAACAAACUCCAGACACGCCGCCUUUAACAACUGUAACACUCACAGCGAGUGUCCGCACUUCAUUCUUGAAGUUAGUAAGACCAAGAACCCACCACUUCCGGACACAAAAGUACGGGGAUUACAGGAUUCUUCAGCUAUUUGGCAAAGAUGAAGACAUAAGUUCCCGGUUCACAACCAUUUUCUCCAUUUUACAGAGGGAGAGACGUAAGGCAGAAGAAGAUUACAUGUACGAGCUGACAGCAUAAUUCACUGGCAGAAUUCCAAAAAGAUGUUAUCAGUCCAAAAGAAAAUGAUUCUGGGGAGCCAUCUGUUCUCCAGCUGCAGAGAUGUUUCUCUAAAGUGCAAUAAGUAUUGUUGAAACCAUUUUUACUGUAGCGGAAGUCAAUCACAGUCCGGAUUCAGAUGGGAGCUGGUUUAAGCAUUCAGAUGAAGAGACACUUCGUCAUUUCUACCAUUGAGUCAACUUUAUGACCUAUCUACAACUUUGGCAUUUGCAAACUCAGGUUAAGCAGGGAUGGUUAGAGUUUAUUUGAUCUUUUAUAUUAUAAAACUUAUGCAAUGAGUCCAAAAAAGAUGGAUUACUUUGAGUAGGUAAAAUAGUUAUAUUUGUUAAAGUGACCAAGGAUAAAUAAAAACAUAGCAAACCAGAUCCAAUUCUCAAAUAUUUUGAUCUGGCUCAUAUCUAGGCAACCAGAGUUGGGCACUCGUCUAAUGAUGAUGCAGUUGAGCUUAGAUGGGAGAGUGGUGGGGCAUGGGUAGAGAGGUACACAUGCUGGAGAUGAGACACGAAUGGCAGAAUGUAGAGAACUGUUAAAACUGGGUGAUGGGUAUCUGAGGGUUCAUUGUAUUAUUCUAUUUACUUUAAAUAUGUUUGACGUUUUCUAGAAUAAGAAAUGGCUUAAUACAACAAGUUGCUAACCAACUUUUAAAAAGGCAUAUUAUCUUCCUUCUAUGACUUGUUAUCAUUGGGUGAUUCCAUUGUUAGGAUAAUAAUAAAGCCUUCUACCCUAU
Long non-coding RNA from Gorilla gorilla gorilla (western lowland gorilla), 1294 nucleotides. RefSeq lists it as uncharacterized. NCBI's taxonomy places the organism in Eukaryota, Metazoa, Chordata, Mammalia, Primates, Hominidae. The transcript is spliced from 2 exons. The record is from RefSeq and is a predicted model, not a curated record.